AUCCCCUGGCAACGGGCAAGGAAACGCCAUGCUGGUGGUGUUGUUCUGGUAUCAGUCAGGGGCAGAGCAGAUGGUGGUUCUUUGUUCAUCCUAGAUUGAUGCCUGGCUUGGUAGCCAAAGUUGUUCUGUGGAUAGAACACAUAA
This is a small nucleolar RNA of Meriones unguiculatus (Mongolian gerbil), 144 nucleotides long. RefSeq annotates it as small nucleolar RNA SNORA48. NCBI's taxonomy places the organism in Eukaryota, Metazoa, Chordata, Mammalia, Rodentia, Muridae. The transcript has a single exon. The record is from RefSeq and is a predicted model, not a curated record.